GCGAAGGUGGCGGAAUUGGUAGACGCGCCUAGCUUCAGGUGUUAGUGUCCUUACGGACGUGGGGGUUCAAGUCCCCCCCCUCGCACCA
This 88-nucleotide transfer RNA is filed under the name Salmonella enterica subsp. enterica serovar Typhimurium. RNAcentral's name for it is "tRNA-Leu". It matches the Rfam family "tRNA". Rfam says of the family: Transfer RNA (tRNA) molecules are approximately 80 nucleotides in length. Their secondary structure includes four short double-helical elements and three loops (D, anti-codon, and T loops). The record is from RNAcentral. Lineage: Bacteria; Pseudomonadati; Pseudomonadota; Gammaproteobacteria; Enterobacterales; Enterobacteriaceae.